This 663-nucleotide transfer RNA is filed under the name Brasilonema octagenarum RKST 322. RNAcentral's name for it is "Brasilonema sp. RKST-322 16S-23S ribosomal RNA intergenic spacer". The stretch from base 318 to 390 matches the Rfam family "tRNA". The record is from RNAcentral. Lineage: Bacteria; Bacillati; Cyanobacteriota; Cyanophyceae; Nostocales; Scytonemataceae.
UUUAGGGAGACCCGACUCAAUUCAAAAGUAAAAAUUCAAAGUUCAAAAACAAGAAAGAGUUUUUGGAAAUUUAGAAUUAUAAAACUUUGAAUUGGUUUUAUCCCGAGGUCGGUCGUAAGGUAAGUGUAAGCUUUCAAACUAUAAGUUAGGUUCGGAUAUGGGCUAUUAGCUCAGGUGGUUAGAGCGCACCCCUGAUAAGGGUGAGGUCCCUGGUUCGAGUCCAGGAUGGCCCACCUGAAAACAGUGAACAGUGUGCAGUAAACAGUGGUCACGAAAAAAUGAUAACUGUGAACUGAUAACUGUGAGCUGAAAUUUAGGGGGGUAUAGCUCAGUUGGUAGAGCGCCUGCUUUGCAAGCAGGAUGUCAGGAGUUCGAGUCUCCUUACCUCCACCUGCGCCCUAAGUAAUUAACUUUUGUGGUUCCAUCUUUGUUGAGUGUACUCAAAUAGCAGCAAAGGCUAGAGUGCAGGCAAGUGAGAAAAGCAAAAGCAAAAUGAUCAUCCGAUAAUUAAUUGGAUAAGAUUCAGCAUCUUGUGAUAUAAGCAAGAAUGCUGGGGUAUUUCCAGCAAAAGAACCUUGAAAACUGCAUAGAAACGCGAAAAAUGUCAGGUAGUUAACUGUUUAUAACAGUUAAAACUCCAAGCAAAAAGCAAUGAUUGUUUGU